This 253-nucleotide ribosomal RNA is filed under the name uncultured bacterium. Its description in RNAcentral is "partial 16S ribosomal RNA". It matches the Rfam family "Bacterial small subunit ribosomal RNA", at positions 524 to 776 of the family's 1533-position model. The record is from RNAcentral.
UACGGAGGGUGCGAGCGUUAAUCGGAAUUACUGGGCGUAAAGGGUGCGUAGGUGGUUGAUUAAGUUAUCUGUGAAAUUCCUGGGCUUAACCUGGGACGGUCAGAUAAUACUGGUUGACUCGAGUAUGGGAGAGGGUAGUGGAAUUUCCGGUGUAGCGGUGAAAUGCGUAGAGAUCGGAAGGAACACCAGUGGCGAAGGCGGCUACCUGGCCUAAUACUGACGCUGAGGCGCGAAAGCGUGGGUAGCAAACAGG